UCCCGCAAAGUAAUACUUUACCUGUAGUUUAACGAUUGUGAGAAGAAAACUGCUUUCAAAAAGUGCCUGCUCCUUGCAGAACUGGUAGUAAGUACGGAAACGUUUAUAAGAGAAAGUUGAACUCACCCACAGUCCCGGCUGCCAGAAAGAAUUACUACGCUGCUGUGUAAACCUGGGAGACCUCACACACGCACAUGGUUUUCUGGGGUUUUGUUUUGUUUUGUUUUUUGUUUUUAAAGACCAGUGUCUCCUGUCUUUCCAGAGAGCAGCAGGCGGGGUGAGAGGAGGAGAGGGAGAGAGAAAAUACCAAGCAGGCUCCGCGCCCAGCACCAAGUCCCAUGUGGGGCUUGAUCCCACUACCCUGAGAUUAUGACCUGAGUGGAAGUCAAGAACUGCCACCCAACUGAUGGAGCUACCCAUUGCCCCUGUGCCGGGUGUUAUAUUGGAAGAAAUACCGAUAAGGUCAUUUGGGGUGAAGAAAAUAUACUUGGGUCAUUAGUUCUCCUACUUCAGUGGCUAAUCCAUAAACCUGAGACUGUUUCAGAGGUGGAAACCUCGGAGUACUGCUUUGUAUGGUCCACCCUGCGGACCCUCUCACCCCGCACCAGUGCUCCUGGGCCCUCACGGCUGGGAGGCCGGCCUGGAGGCGGAGGCCGUGACCCAGGGCCGGCCCCCUCACGUUCUCGGUUCCAAGGCUGCAGCACGAUCAUCGGGAAAGUGAAAAUGAAAACAGAAGCUACCCCGCUUGCCCAUCCUGACGACCCGCCCCGUCACUUCGGCUGUGUGAGAGGACGGGCAGCGCCGCCAAGGCCUCCCCCCUGCGGGGCAGGGUCUCCUUCCUGCGCGGGGGCCUGUGCGGCGGCCCGAUCGCCCACUCGGGGCGGUCCCACGACCCCCUGCCCCGCCGAGGCUGGUUCGCGGCCCAGUUCGGGUCCUCCCUGGGAGCCCAGCGCGGGGCGGGGCUUCGGCGGAGGCUCUCCCGCUUCUGCCUCCGCCCUGCUCCUCCUCCUCCUCCUCCUCCUCCUCCUCCUCCUCCUCCUCCUCCUCCUCCGCGCUGCGGGGAGUCGUCGGAUCCCGAUCCUGAUCCUGAUCCCGAUCCCGAUCCCGAUCCCGAUCCCGAUCCCGAAGGCCUGGCGGAGUCUGGGACCGGGAGAAGCCAGAGGCUUUUCUCCUUAGGGCCCCAUCGAGGCCUGGUCGUCCGGCGGCCGCGGGCUGAGUCUCUGUCCCUCGGCGCAUCUCUGCGUUGAGAACCUGUAGGGGAGGGUGGAUCCUGAAGAACCUUGUGGACACUUCUACCUCCUGAAGCGCCAGCCCCGCCCAAGGGGAAGUGAUAAGAAGGGGAAUAGGUAAAUAGGCUGGUGAAAGGAGAAGAAAGCCCCUGAACUGCCAAGUGCCUGGCUGGAGAAAAAUCAGGGAGCAAGGACAGGACAGGACUAAAAAUGUUUGAGCUUAACAGGAUGCCUGUUAAUUGCAGUUGACACCAGCCCUAAUACUUACAGACCAAGUUCAGAUCGGAUUAUUUAGAACAAUGCAGGGAGAAGAAUCAAGGCUUUGAGAAGUUAAGGUAACUUGCCCAAGGUCACAUGGCUAGUAAAUGACCAGUUUUGGAUUGAACUCAAGUCACUCAUUUCUCCAAAUUAAAAACCAUGCAGAGGAGCACCUGGAGGACUCAGUCAGUUGAGUAUUUGCCUUCCCCUCAGGUCAUAAUCCUUGGGGUCCUGGGAUUGAGUCCCAUAUGAGGCUCCCUGCUUAGCGAGGAGUCUGCUUCUCCCUCUCCUUCUGACCCUCCUCCCUGCUUGUGCUCUCACUCUCUCUCUCUCAAAUGAAUAAAUAAAAAAAUCUUUAAAAAAUGCAGAAUGUGGAUGUAUCAUUUAUCUAAGAACCUGACAGUAUACAGUUUAAGUGGAUAUAUUUUAUGUAGAUUAUACCCCGGUAAAGUUAAUUUUUAAAAAUCAUGCAGGGGGCACCUGGGUGGCUCAGUUGGUUAAGCAGCUGCCUUCCCCUCAGGUCAUGAUC
Molecule: RNA transcript, 2016 nt
Organism: Canis lupus familiaris (dog)
Lineage: Eukaryota; Metazoa; Chordata; Mammalia; Carnivora; Canidae
Gene name: basic proline-rich protein-like
Exons: 6
Source: RefSeq, a predicted model, not a curated record